Transfer RNA from Felis catus (domestic cat), 73 nucleotides. It matches the Rfam family "tRNA". From Rfam's summary of the family: Transfer RNA (tRNA) molecules are approximately 80 nucleotides in length. Their secondary structure includes four short double-helical elements and three loops (D, anti-codon, and T loops). Lineage: Eukaryota; Metazoa; Chordata; Mammalia; Carnivora; Felidae. The record is from Rfam.
ACCUGGCUGGCUCAGUUGGUAGAGCGUGUGACUCUUAAUCUCAAGGUUGUGAGUUUGAGCCCCACACUGGGUA